Molecule: long non-coding RNA, 420 nt
Organism: Lepus europaeus (European hare)
Lineage: Eukaryota; Metazoa; Chordata; Mammalia; Lagomorpha; Leporidae
Exons: 4
Source: RefSeq, a predicted model, not a curated record
ACAGGGAUGAAGAAAGCUUUCAGCAAGCAAAACUGACCAAAAUCACGCUUCAUCUACCAAUGGUUGCCUGAAACAGUAGUCUAUAUUCAUGGAUCAAGACUUCAUUACUACUUGUUCUCCAGCUCAAAUACAAUCUGCUCCCAUCCUGGCCACUCCUCUGCUUUCAUCAGAGUCACCAAUGUCUUCCAGAUGAUACUUCCAAGUGAUUCACUAAGUACUCUGGAACCUAAGAGACAUUUUCCCAUUAAGAAGAUGUGAUAAGACCAUUAACUAAAGGACAGUGAAGCAGAUUUGGAAAGGAAAAACUACAUUCCCAAAAUAUGCAGACUUUUAUAUACCACAAUCAAUAAUUUUUCUCUUCUGGAAUAGGCAUGUGCAAUUACACCAGUGUUGGACUCCGUGCCCACAACUACUCUACCU